GUCAGUUUCUCUGCACGAAUACCGAGAGAAGACGAACGGGUGUUCUUCGUGUUCUUCAUAUUCAAACGAGGAUUUGAAGGCGUUAUUGGAAUCCGAUGGAGGCGUAUGAAUAGUCAAAACGAAGCUCUCGACGCGUAGAAUCUAUUGUAGUCAUCAAUAUCAGUGCUGAAUCGACAGGUUUUUGCUAAAUAAGCUUUUUAAAUUCGAAUUAUAUUAUUUCAAAGGAUGAAUUUUCGUAAACGAUCUUGUUUCUAUGAUUUGAUGAUUCCAUGUUGUAGAGCAUCUCCUGCCAUUCGUUUUCAUAUAUUAUAUGUCGAUUUUUGACUUCCAUAUCAUAUAGAAAAGUUGGUUUGAUUCUUGAAUUGGUGUUCUUGAGUGUUCUUCGUAGUUUAUGAAUGUUUUCAAUUGCGAAUUGGGCGUUUUUAAUCUAGGAAACUAGAGGAUGUGUGGUUGGUACCAUUAGAAAGAGCGUGAGGAGAGGAGUAUGUUCAUGCCACCCAAUUGACCGGACGACCCCCGUAGAGGUCGCCGGAAUCUGGAAAUCGUGGCGGCGGCGACGAACUUUGGCUGCGAAUUCCGGCCAAAACUCACGUUGUUUGAUGAUUAUAAUUGUUGAAACGUGUUCCUGGUGAGUAGUAUUGUAUAUCUGCAGUUUUUGGAGCGUGAUGGAGUUCAGAAUCGCCGUCUCCGGCGAGUCAGAGGCCGCCGGCGGUGAAAAUUACAGUUUAAUACCCGUAGUUUUGAAGAUGGUGAAAACUUGGUACUCUAGUUUAUGUUUUGACAUUUGAUCCCCUGUAACUUCUUAAAGUUACAGUUUAUACCCCGGAUGAAAACUUUCAAAAGUUUACAAAAUAAACCUUUUGAUUUAAUUUUCUAAAAUUGUUUUAUUUAAUUAUUUUAAAUUCCAAAAAUAGUUUUUAAUUAUUUCUUUAUUCAAAAAUAAAUCUAAAUUAGUUUCUUAAUUAAUUUUAAUUAGUAAUUAAUUAUUUUAAUUGGUCAAUUAAUUUAAAUAUUAAUUGAUUAAUUAAUUUAGUUAAUUAUUAAUUGAUUUUAAUUGAUUAAUUAAUUGGAUUUAAUUGUUCCUUUUGAUUUAAAAAUUCUGGAAAAUAGUUUCGAGCUUUGAAUUAUUUUUCUAAAAUAUGUUUGAGGCUCGUUAAUUGAUUUCAAAUGAUUUUGGACCCGAUCUUGAGCAAUCGGACUUGAUUAUUUAUUCAAAAAUGGAUUCUUUUACCUGUUUUAAUUCCGAAAAAUGUCUAGAAAUUCCAGAAAAUUCCUGAAAAAUCAUUUUUAACCUGAGACUUGAUUUGACAUCAAUUGGGAUGGGAAACCUUAUAUGAAAAAUGUUGUCUGCUAUCUGUUUGAUAUGUUAUGAACCGAUGGGAGAGUUAGAAAACGGUUUUGCUCAUAACUUUUGACUCGUAAUUCAGAAUGGAGUGAAACGAAAAAGAGAUUAAAGCUUAUAAAGUCUAUUUUAAUGUGACAUAAUAAUAUGGUGGAGUAUAGAAUGUGAAUAAUUGUUGUUAAAUGUAUAGAAUAUGAUUAUAUGUGAUCUAAUUGCUAUUAAUUGAUGAUUGCAUGGACUAUCUGGUUGUUCUAGUAUUACAUACAGGUGAUAAAUGAUUAAAUGACAUAGUGUCGUGUCUUGAUAGGUGUCGGAUAAAAGCAUAUGGAUUAUAGUGAUUGGAUUUGGUUGGUUGAUUGUUGAUUGAGAUAGGAUAACAGGUGGAUAGUCUAAUAAAUAGACGAGACGAUGUCGGAUUUUCGAUAAGAUUUAUAUGAUAUUUAAUUGAUAAUAUGUUAUGUGAAAUAUGAUUAGACUAUAUGGUAGAGUCAAAGCAUGAUUAUGUGUUAAGUGAUAUUUGACGAGUUUAAAGAGUUGUAUAAGUGGGUAUCGAUAUACGUGAUAUGUGUAUGCGAUAGGUUAUGCUACCGAAUUGAUAAGUAGAGAUAAGAAUCAAUAGAUUAUUUAGUGAUAAUGGUAGUAUCUUAUUCUCGUAAAGGGUUUGGACGAGACGGAUACGAUCGAAGACGUUCAGAAGAUCAAACGAUGUUACAAAGCGAAUAAGGAACGAAUCGAGUAAACGAAGCAGUGUGGCGAAUAGAGUAUAGCCAAAGAUGGUCUAGAGACUAUGAUAUGCAUAGAGUGUGAAAGUGGAAAGAUGAGAUUGAGAUAUGAGACUGGAGUCGGAUUUAAGGCAAGUUUUCCUAAAUCCUUCCUCA
Molecule: long non-coding RNA, 2220 nt
Filed under: Daucus carota (carrot)
Lineage: Eukaryota; Viridiplantae; Streptophyta; Magnoliopsida; Apiales; Apiaceae
Description: long non-coding RNA (DCAR_LNC001009)
Source: RNAcentral